AACAAGGCGUACCUGCGGACCUGCGGAAGGAUCAUUACCGAGUGUGAACCCCCCCGUAAAAAAGAGGGGUUACCCCCCGUCCUUUGCUGGGAACCCCUUUCCAACUUGGAAGGAGGUUGUUUUCAGACCCUUCUGCUUCGGUGGGGUAACCCACCGGAACAACCUCAAAAAUAUUCUCAAUUCAAAACCGUUCAGUCCGAGAACUUUUUUGAAAAGCGAAAAAACUUUCAACAACGGAUC
This 240-nucleotide unclassified non-coding RNA is filed under the name soil metagenome. Its description in RNAcentral is "partial contains 5.8S ribosomal RNA, internal transcribed spacer 2, and large subunit ribosomal RNA". The record is from RNAcentral.